Sitodiplosis mosellana (orange wheat blossom midge) is the source of this 603-nucleotide long non-coding RNA. RefSeq lists it as uncharacterized. The transcript is spliced from 3 exons. The record is from RefSeq and is a predicted model, not a curated record. Lineage: Eukaryota; Metazoa; Arthropoda; Insecta; Diptera; Cecidomyiidae.
CGAUCGAAAACCCGACAGUUAAAUGUGCCACAUUAAGCCAAAUAUACACCAUCGGCAUCUGGAGGCAUUGCAACAACAGAACUAAAAUCAGCAACCCAAACAAAUAGAAAUCUAUAUGGGCAUACAAUGGUUGCCAACCAUCAAAAAUGACAAUAGUGGACUUUGAAUAUUACUGUCAAAAGGAUUGGUCCUGCGGAAAUGGCGUUAAACAUACCUUGUGCAAAAAUGAGACGAAAUUUGGUAAAGCAUGCAGAGAGAAGCCUGAAUGUAUGAUAUUGAGUGAUGAUUAUCGAGAAUUUAUUCUUAAAUUCGUCAAUAACGCACGCAGUGGUGAAGAAAUUGGACCAUUCAAAGGUGUGAAGGCUGCUAAAAUGAUAGAAACUACAUGGAGUGACGAAGAUGAAAUGAUUGCAAUGAAUCAUGCGGUUGGAUGUCUACUGAAACAUGAUGUAUGCCGUCGAACGGCAUUUAAAAAAUUUGCUGGCCAAAAUCUUGGUUUAGUAUGCCAAAGUGGCGCUCAUUAUACAGUCGGAGAAGUGAUUAAUAAAGUUGUCGAAAAUGGUUGGCGUGUGCUGAACGCAACAAAUAUCCUCCAAACACAGC